UGUGGGCGGAAAGAAGGAUUAUCCAAGCGAAGCGAAACAUGAUAAAGAAAAUGGUAAUAACUGAAAUGGUAAUAACUUCUUUACCAUUUUCUUUAUCAUGUUUCGCUUCGCUUGGAUAAUCCUUCUUUCCGCCCACA
This 137-nucleotide microRNA precursor is filed under the name Paramuricea clavata. Lineage: Eukaryota; Metazoa; Cnidaria; Anthozoa; Malacalcyonacea; Plexauridae. The record is from RNAcentral.